AUUGAACGCUGGCGGCAGGCCUAACACAUGCCAGUCGAGCGGAUGAAGGGAGCUUGCUCCUGGAUUCAGCGGCGGACGGGUGAGUAAUGCCUAGGAAUCUGCCUGGUAGUGGGGGAUAACGUCCGGAAACGGGCGCUAAUACCGCAUACGUCCUGAGGGAGAAAGUGGGGGAUCUUCGGACCUCACGUUAUCAGAUGAGCCUAGGUCGGAUUAGCUAGUUGGUGGGGUAAAGGCCUACCAAGGCGACGAUCCGUAACUGGUCUGAGAGGAUGAUCAGUCACACUGGAACUGAGACACGGUCCAGACUCCUACGGGAGGCAGCAGUGGGGAAUAUUGGACAAUGGGCGAAAGCCUGAUCCAGCCAUGCCGCGUGUGUGAAGAAGGUCUUCGGAUUGUAAAGCACUUUAAGUUGGGAGGAAGGGCAGUAAGUUAAUACCUUGCUGUUUUGACGUUACCAACAGAAUAAGCACCGGCUAACUUCGUG
Molecule: ribosomal RNA, 484 nt
Filed under: uncultured bacterium
Lineage: Bacteria
Description: partial 16S ribosomal RNA
Rfam family: Bacterial small subunit ribosomal RNA
Source: RNAcentral